AACCCGCGGAAACGCGGCCUAAUACCCCGUGACGCCACCGGAGGGCAUCCUCCGGUGGCCAAAGGAGCGAUCCGGUGGCGGAUGGGCAUGCGGCGCAUUAGCUAGACGGCGGGGUGACGGCCCACCGUGGCGACGAUGCGUAGGGGUUCUGAGAGGAAGGCCCCCCACACUGGGACUGAGACACGGCCCAGACUCCUACGGGAGGCAGCAGUGAGGAAUAUUGGUCGAUGGGCGGAAGCCUGAACCAGCCAAGUCGCGUGAGGGAUUAAGGCCCUGCGGGUCGUAAACCUCUUUUGCCGGGGAGCAGUGGUCCGGACGCGUCCGGGCCGGGAGAGUACCCGGAGAAAAAGCAUCGGCUAACUCCGUGCCAGCAGCCGCGGUAAUACGGAGGAUGCGAGCGUUAUCCGGAUUUAUUGGGUUUAAAGGGUGCGUAGGCGGGCAUUUAAGCCGGCGGUCAAAUGUCGGGGCUCAACCCCGGCCUGCCGUCGGAACUGGGUGCCUUGAGUGGGCGAGAAGUAUGCGGAAUGCGUGGUGUAGCGGUGAAAUGCAUAGAUAUCACGCAGAACCCCGAUUGCGAAGGCAGCAUACCGGCGCCCUACAGACGCUGAGGCAACGAAGUGCGGGUAUCGAACAGGAUUAGAUACCCUGGUAGUCCGCACAGUAAACGA
This 668-nucleotide ribosomal RNA is filed under the name uncultured bacterium. RNAcentral's name for it is "bacterial SSU rRNA". It matches the Rfam family "Bacterial small subunit ribosomal RNA", at positions 145 to 809 of the family's 1533-position model. The record is from RNAcentral.